RNAcentral lists this ribosomal RNA (437 nucleotides) under uncultured bacterium. RNAcentral describes it as "partial 16S ribosomal RNA". It matches the Rfam family "Bacterial small subunit ribosomal RNA", at positions 29 to 507 of the family's 1533-position model. The record is from RNAcentral.
AGCGAACGCUGGCGGCAGGCUUAACACAUGCAAGUCGAGCGGGCAUCCUUGUGGUGUCCGCGGCAGACGGGUGAGUAACGCGUGGGAACGUGCCCUUCGGUUCGGAAUAACUCAGGGAAACUUGAGCUAAUACCGGAUACGUGCGAGAGCAGAAAGGUUUAUCUGACGAAGGAGCGGCCCGCUUCUGAUUAGCUAGUUGGUGAGGUUACGGCUCACCAAGGCGACGAUCAGUAGCUGGUCUGAGAGGAUGAUCAGCCACACUGGCACUGAGACACGGCCCAGACUCCUACGGGAGGCAGCAGUGGGGAAUAUUGGACAAUGGGGGCAACCCUGAUCCAGCCAUGCCGGGUGAGUGAUGACGGCCUUAGGGUUGUAAAGCUCUUUUCUCCGGGACGAUAACGACGGUACCGGAGGAAUAAGCCCCGGCUAACUUCGUG